Molecule: non-coding RNA, 103 nt
Organism: Chelonoidis abingdonii (Abingdon island giant tortoise)
Lineage: Eukaryota; Metazoa; Chordata; Testudines; Testudinidae
Source: RefSeq, a predicted model, not a curated record
UAAACAAGUAUGCUUCCUAAUGGAGCAGCGAUGUAACUUCGAAACAACGUUAAGCGGAAGGACGUUAAGUGAGGAGUUACUGUAUAUUAUUUUACAUCAGAAU